Molecule: long non-coding RNA, 399 nt
Filed under: Gorilla gorilla gorilla (western lowland gorilla)
Lineage: Eukaryota; Metazoa; Chordata; Mammalia; Primates; Hominidae
Description: lncRNA (ENSGGOG00000044611.1)
Source: RNAcentral
GAGAGAGAUCCCAGGAGGACAAAAGAGGUUGCUGCCUACUGGUGGUUGGGAUGCCAUUCACAUGUCCCAGCAAAGCUUCUCAAAGAUGUCAGUAUUAAUUGUCACCAUCCUCCAGGGAGAAAGCAACAGCCCACAAUUGCCUGCAUUUUCUUUCCUCUUCAAAACCACUUCUGCUCCAAAGACCAUGAACCUGAACUGAAGAAACGACUCCUUCCUGCUGGCGUGAGAUAAUUCAGUCUCCAUGAUGUCUUAAUCCUGGGCCUCCCUUAAUUGACUUCUAACUGUGCUGAACUGUGGCUGCUAGGAGUUGCAAUGUGGAUCGCAAUUUACAAGGCACUGGAAUCGUUUCUUGUCCUCAAAUUAGUCCUGAGCUGUACUGGAGAAAGAAAAAAAAGGGGU